Molecule: long non-coding RNA, 2420 nt
Organism: Equus asinus (donkey)
Lineage: Eukaryota; Metazoa; Chordata; Mammalia; Perissodactyla; Equidae
Source: Ensembl
GAUCGUUGGUGUUUUUCUGGAUUCUCAAUGAUUGCUAAGAAUAGAGUCAAGGAGGUUUGAUAGAAAGAACCUGGGUCCUAAAUCAAACGACCUGAAUUUGGGGCCGGAGCCAGCCACCUGGUUCAUUCCUUUACUCUUUCAUUUAUCAAACAUUUCUUGAACACCUCCCAUGUGCCAGACCCAGAGAUAGGCACUGGGGACACAUCUGUGAUCAAGAUGGAUGAGUCUCUGUCCACACGGAGCAUACAUUUUUGUGAGGAAGACAGACAAGUUAUCAGGCAGCUACAAAGACGUAUGAGAAGAGCAAUGAUGGCGUCAAAAGGUGAGGAGAGUCUAUAAGAAACCUACACCACCGAGACGUGGGUAUGCAAGAGAGUGAAGGAGCUUCGGGAAAAGCCAUUUGCAGGAAGUGACAUCUAAAUAGAGAGCUGAAGGAUGACAAUGACUAGCUGGGGAGCUCACAGAAAUCACCACCUCAUUGAGUCCCCGUUUCUUCUCUCUCAAAUUGGAACGCUCAUAACAGUCCUGACUGACCUGCAUUAGGGGGAGGCUGUGAGGAUCCAUAAGCAGAUUUUGGUGGUAAACGCUUUGCUGAACUGAUUGGAGUCUGUUGCUUGCACGGGUGAACUAGGACCACCCCGAGCCAUGGAACGACUGUGCCUCCGCCGGCUCCCUCACAGAUACCUGCCCUUGAUCAGGAGAGAAGCACUGACAGAUGGGAGCAGAUCGAUUUGUGUUGGAGUUCCGAUGACUUGCAUGGCUUACACCACUGUCCAAGUAACGCUAAUCCCCUCUCAGACGAGAAGUCAGGGCAGCCUAGCAGACUUGCAAAAGCCAGAGGUUUAAGUGGCAACCUCAUCAGUUCACCAGCAUUUAUUUGGGCGUGUAUCUCCCUUCUUUAAUAUAGACUGGGUGAGAAAACUUGUUUCAAAGAGAAGGAAACCAAAAGCAAAAGAAAUUAACUGGCUAUGCCAAAGGUCUUCUUCAGUCAUUACUUGAUUCAAUAAACAUUGAAGACCUUUGUGCAGGCCUAAAUGCUGCGGGAAAUAUGAAGAUGAAUAAGACGUAGCCCUUCUCCUAAAGAAUCUCAUAGCUUGAAACUUGCAUUAAUAAUGACAAAGCCACAUCAAAAUUCAUCAGUGUCACACGAAAGUUUCUGCAAGGAUGCAGUGUAGGUUCUAAGGAGGGAGACACUGCCACCAGCUUGGGGAAGGGUCUUAGGGAAGGCGUUCAGGAAAAGGCAGGUAUGAAAUUGGCUUUGGUCUGAAGUUGGGAAGGGAGUAAGGAGGAGAGAAACUGCAGGGGGAUGUCAGUGGCCAGAUCUGUGUUUUGUGAAGAUCACUGUGGCAACGAUGUGGAGAACAGGUUGGAGAAGGGAAAGAAUGACGUUUAUAACAACAGCAAUAGUAGCAGCGAACAUUUAAAUAAGUACUCAUUAUGCCAGGCAUCCACUAAGUGCUUGACCCACUUUAUCUCAUGUAAUCCUUAAAACAACCUAGGAGACGGGAGUUAUCAUCAUCUCCAUUUUGUAGGGAAAAGCAUGGCAGAGCCUAGACUAACAAAAGAGUUUUUAUCCUUGGCUAUGAGAAGCCAGGUAAGAAAACGAAAAGGUCCUUCUCAAACAGGGACGGUGGGAUAGGAAAGACUUGGAUUUUGGAGAAUGAGAGAUGAAGGCAAACUUUGUUUCUAAGAAUAGGCCUCCUAAGUGUUUGAGCCAAAAACUUCAUAAACACAAAAACACCUCUGAGAUCCUAUUCUGUCUAAAGGGCCACGACUUAGAUGGAAGGUACCUUGUCAAGUAAGUCUAACUCCUGUGUAGGAACCGUGUCCUUUGUCUUAUCACUGUCUACCCAGAUUCUGGCACUCUGCCCGGCAAAUAGUGCGUGCUCAAACUGUUUUGAAUGAGAGAAUUUUCACCUCUGUCAUUCAACAUUCACUGGAACCUGGGGCAAUGCAUUCCGUUUCCCCUCCCCCACACCCACACUUCAGUUUCCCUAUCUUUACAUUAGAGCAGGCUGGAGCUCAUUAACUCAUUAUAUAUUAAGGUGAAUAUGCCAUUACACAGGAAAAUUACCUAGGGCAAAGGUAGGGAGACUUUAGUGGCUAAGGGGAGUGUCUCUACCGGCCCGGGGUGGGCACUCGUUUUUUUUUUUUUUUUUGAUACGCUGAGUCUUAUCGUUUGGCAAUCUAUGCAGAAAAGGGCAGAAGACUAGUUUCAAAUUCCUUAAGACAGGUUCCUUCACCAUCUAAAGGCACUGGAGUUCUUGAUACGGAAAUGCUCCCAUAGAGAUGUCUUCGUCCAGGACACCGCCCUUAAAAUUAGACGGAGGAAGACUCCCUUCUCCUUGAAGGUGCUUGACAAGCCUUGUCCCCAAAGGGGGUGGAGGUAGAGAAAGAAUGCGCCCACACCUCGCACGUCU